CCUACGGGUGGCAGCAGGGAGGAAUAUUGGUCAAUGGGAGAGAGCCGGAACCAGCCAAGCCGCGGGAGGGAAGACGGCCCUAUGGGUUGUAAACCUCUUUUGUCGGAGAACAAAACCCGGCACGUGUCCCGUACUGCGUGUACCCGAAGAAAAAGCAUCGGCUAACUCCGUGCCAGCAGCCGCGGUAAUACGGAGGAUGCGAGCGUUAUCCGGAUUUAUUGGGUUUAAAGGGUGCGUAGGCGGUCUGUUAAGUCAGCGGUAAAAGUGCGGGGCUCAACCCCGACGGGCCGUUGAAACUGGCAGACUUGAGUUGGCGAGAAGUAGGCGGAAUGCGCGGUGUAGCGGUGAAAUGCAUAGAUAUCGCGCAGAACUCCGAUUGCGAAGGCAGCGUACCGGAG
Molecule: ribosomal RNA, 398 nt
Filed under: uncultured bacterium
Lineage: Bacteria
Description: partial 16S ribosomal RNA
Rfam family: Bacterial small subunit ribosomal RNA
Source: RNAcentral